This 431-nucleotide ribosomal RNA is filed under the name uncultured bacterium. RNAcentral describes it as "partial 16S ribosomal RNA". It matches the Rfam family "Bacterial small subunit ribosomal RNA", at positions 29 to 507 of the family's 1533-position model. The record is from RNAcentral.
AACGAACGCUGGCGGCAGGCCUAACACAUGCAAGUCGAGCGCCCCGCAAGGGGAGCGGCGGACGGGUGAGUAACGCGUGGGAACGUACCCUUUGCUACGGAAUAGCCUCGGGAAACUGGGAGUAAUACCGUAUGUGUCCUUCGGGAGAAAGAUUUAUCGGCAAGGGAUCGGCCCGCGUUGGAUUAGGUAGUUGGUGGGGUAAUGGCCUACCAAGCCGACGAUCCAUAGCUGGUUUGAGAGGAUGAUCAGCCACACUGGGACUGAGACACGGCCCAGACUCCUACGGGAGGCAGCAGUGGGGAAUCUUAGACAAUGGACGCAAGCCUGAUCUAGCCAUGCCGCGUGAGCGAUGAAGGCCUUAGGGUUGUAAAGCUCUUUCAGGGGGGAAGAUAAUGACUGUACCCCCAGAAGAAGCCCCGGCUAACUCCGUG